Molecule: ribosomal RNA, 492 nt
Filed under: uncultured bacterium
Lineage: Bacteria
Description: partial 16S ribosomal RNA
Rfam family: Bacterial small subunit ribosomal RNA
Source: RNAcentral
AGUGAACGCUGGCGGUAGGCCUAACACAUGCAAGUCGAACGGCAGCACAGUAAGAGCUUGCUCUUACGGGUGGCGAGUGGCGGACGGGUGAGGAAUACAUCGGAAUCUACUUUUUCGUGGGGGAUAACGUAGGGAAACUUACGCUAAUACCGCAUACGACCUACGGGUGAAAGCAGGGGAUCUUCGGACCUUGCGCGAUUGAAUGAGCCGAUGUCGGAUUAGCUAGUUGGCGGGGUAAAGGCCCACCAAGGCGACGAUCCGUAGCUGGUCUGAGAGGAUGAUCAGCCACACUGGAGCUGAGGCACGGUCGAGACUCCUACGGGGGGCAGCAGUGGGGAAUAUUGGGCGAUGGGCGCAAGGCGAAUCCAGCCAUACCGGGUGGGGGAAGAAGGCCUUCGGGUUGUAAAGCCCUUUUGUUGGGAGAGAAAAGCAGCAGGUUUAUACCCCGCUGUUCUGACGGUACCCAAAGAAUAAGCACCGGCUAACUUCGUG